Molecule: ribosomal RNA, 425 nt
Filed under: uncultured bacterium
Lineage: Bacteria
Description: partial 16S ribosomal RNA
Rfam family: Bacterial small subunit ribosomal RNA
Source: RNAcentral
UUGGGGAAUCUUAGACAAUGGGGGCAACCCUGAUCUAGCCAUGCCGCGUGAUCGAUGAAGGCCUUAGGGUUGUAAAGAUCUUUCAGCUGGGAAGAUAAUGACGGUACCAGCAGAAGAAGCCCCGGCUAACUCCGUGCCAGCAGCCGCGGUAAUACGGAGGGGGCUAGCGUUGUUCGGAAUUACUGGGCGUAAAGCGCACGUAGGCGGAUUGGAAAGUUGGGGGUGAAAUCCCGGGGCUCAACCCCGGAACUGCCUUCAAAACUCCCAGUCUUGAGGUCGAGAGAGGUGAGUGGAAUUCCGAGUGUAGAGGUGAAAUUCGUAGAUAUUCGGAGGAACACCAGUGGCGAAGGCGGCUCACUGGCUCGAUACUGACGCUGAGGUGCGAAAGCGUGGGGAGCAAACAGGAUUAGAUACCCUAGUAGUCC